Long non-coding RNA from Clupea harengus (Atlantic herring), 437 nucleotides. Lineage: Eukaryota; Metazoa; Chordata; Actinopteri; Clupeiformes; Clupeidae. The record is from Ensembl.
UGCAUCAUCUGCUAGCCUCAGCUGGCUGGUGUCUCCUGAGAUAGAGCAGACUCCACACAGCUUCCUGGUCUCUUACCAGAGUGAAGGGACUGAGCCAAAGUCCAUCUCUACUGGGUCAUGCAGCACAGACAUCACAGGCCUGAAACCAGGAACUGAGUACACUGUUAGAGUCUACACUGAGCUCCAACAUAGAGGAAAGAGCCAGCCUGCUUCUGUUAAAAUCAAAACAGAGAUCCCAGUCCCAGAGCGUCUGACUGUGAGCUCCAUCACUGCAUCAUCUGCUAGCCUCAGCUGGCUGGUGUCUCCUGAGAUGGAGCAGACUCCACACAGCUUCCUGGUCUCUUACCAGAGUGAAGGGACUGAGCCAAAGUCCAUCUCUACUGAGUCAUGCAGCACAGACAUCACAGGCCUGAAACCAGUAACUGACUACACUGUUA